GUCCUUGUAGUAUAACAAUUACCCUGGUCUUGUAAACCAAAAAUGAAGCAUAAACCCUUCCUAGGACA
This 68-nucleotide transfer RNA is filed under the name Ochotona curzoniae (black-lipped pika). RNAcentral's name for it is "tRNA-Thr". Lineage: Eukaryota; Metazoa; Chordata; Mammalia; Lagomorpha; Ochotonidae. The record is from RNAcentral.